Cyprinus carpio (common carp) is the source of this 332-nucleotide long non-coding RNA. RefSeq lists it as uncharacterized. The record is from RefSeq and is a predicted model, not a curated record. Lineage: Eukaryota; Metazoa; Chordata; Actinopteri; Cypriniformes; Cyprinidae.
CGCACGUCACGUUAACGUCAGACGACGCCAGUGCGAGAAGCCGUCGUUUUUCAAGCGUGAAAGAAAGAAAGAAGCGAGAAACUUGUUGAGCUCGUGUCUUCAUUGUGCCCGCGCCGGCAGUUAAAGACACAGAAGCCUGCUCUUGUUAGGAGGAGCCGGUGUUCCCAGCUUCUGAAGAGAGGGAAAAUGUUGAUAGCCAGAGACAAGAUAACUUCAUUCUUUCGAGACUGAUAACUCAAACUAACUUUGGAGUUAAGGACACAGACGCCUGCUUGUGUGAGGAGGAGGCAAUUUUCUCAGCUUCUUUAGAAGAGAGGAAAAGACAGUUUAAG